CCUACGGGCGGCAGCAGUGAGGAAUAUUGGUCAAUGGCCGGAAGGCUGAACCAGCCAUGCCGCGUGAAGGUCAGUGCCCUAUGGGCGUUAAACUUCUUUUGUGCGGGAGCAAUAAUGGUCACGUGUGGCCAGACGAGAGUACCGUACGAAUAAGCAUCGGCUAACUCCGUGCCAGCAGCCGCGGUAAUACGGGGGAUGCAAGCGUUAUCCGGAUUUAUUGGGUUUUAAGGGUGCGUAGGCUGUGAGGUAAGUCAGCGGGGAAAUGCCCCCGGUGAACGGGGUGGAGUGCCAUUGAUACUGGCUUGCUGGAAGGCGGAUGCCGUGGGAGGAAUGUGUGGUGUAGCGGUGAAAUGCAUAGAUAUCACACAGAACACCGAUUGCGAAGGCAUCUCACGAAUCCGCGAUUGACGCUGAUGCACGAAAGCGUGGGUAUCAAACAGGAUUAGAUACCCGGGUAGUC
This 460-nucleotide ribosomal RNA is filed under the name uncultured bacterium. RNAcentral's name for it is "partial 16S ribosomal RNA". It matches the Rfam family "Bacterial small subunit ribosomal RNA", at positions 338 to 795 of the family's 1533-position model. The record is from RNAcentral.